Molecule: ribosomal RNA, 460 nt
Filed under: uncultured bacterium
Lineage: Bacteria
Description: partial 16S ribosomal RNA
Rfam family: Bacterial small subunit ribosomal RNA
Source: RNAcentral
CCUACGGGAGGCAGCAGUGAGGAAUAUUGGUCAAUGGGCGAGAGCCUGAACCAGCCAAGUCGCGUGAAGGAUGACGGCCCUACGGGUUGUAAACUUCUUUUGUCAGGGAGCAAUUGGGUCCACGCGUGGGCUUAGCGAGAGUACCUGAAGAAAAAGCAUCGGCUAACUCCGUGCCAGCAGCCGCGGUAAUACGGAGGAUGCGAGCGUUAUCCGGAUUUAUUGGGUUUAAAGGGUGCGUAGGCGGAAUAUCAAGUCAGCGGUAAAAAUUCGGGGCUCAACCCCGGCCUGCCGUCGGAACUGGGUGCCUUGAGUGGGCGAGAAGUAUGCGGAAUGCGUGGUGUAGCGGUGAAAUGCAGAGAUAUCACGCAGAACCCCGAUUGCGAAGGCAGCAUACCGGCGCCCUACUGACGCUGAGGCACGAAAGUGCGGGUAUCGAACAGGAUUAGAUACCCGGGUAGUC